AUAUUGGACAAUGGGGGAAACCCUGAUCCAGCAAUGCCGCGUGAGUGAUGAAGGCCUUAGGGUUGUAAAGCUCUUUUACCAGGGAUGAUAAUGACAGUACCUGGAGAAUAAGCUCCGGCUAACUCCGUGCCAGCAGCCGCGGUAAUACGGAGGGAGCUAGCGUUGUUCGGAAUUACUGGGCGUAAAGCGCACGUAGGCGGUUACUCAAGUCAGAGGUGAAAGCCCGAGGCUCAACCCCGGAACUGCCUUUGAAACUAGGUAACUAGAAUCCUGGAGAGGUGAGUGGAAUUCCGAGUGUAGAGGUGAAAUUCGUAGAUAUUCGGAAGAACACCAGUGGCGAAGGCGGCUCACUGGACAGGUAUUGACGCUGAGGUGCGAAAGCGUGGGGAGCAAACAG
This 397-nucleotide ribosomal RNA is filed under the name uncultured bacterium. RNAcentral's name for it is "bacterial SSU rRNA". It matches the Rfam family "Bacterial small subunit ribosomal RNA", at positions 361 to 775 of the family's 1533-position model. The record is from RNAcentral.